GGCUCAAUGGUCUAGUCGUAUGAUUCCUGCUUUGGGUUUUCCAACCUAUUCUGCAGGAGGUCCCGGGUUCAAAUCCCGGUUGAGCCC
RNAcentral lists this transfer RNA (87 nucleotides) under Bipolaris zeicola 26-R-13. It matches the Rfam family "tRNA". Rfam says of the family: Transfer RNA (tRNA) molecules are approximately 80 nucleotides in length. Their secondary structure includes four short double-helical elements and three loops (D, anti-codon, and T loops). RNAcentral also lists the same sequence under 1 other name. Lineage: Eukaryota; Fungi; Ascomycota; Dothideomycetes; Pleosporales; Pleosporaceae. The record is from Rfam by way of RNAcentral.